GGAAUCUAGCACCACACCACUCGGCUCAAAACAAUAUCUGUGUAUCGCGAUUUCCGGGUUAUUUCCCUUCAUCAGCACAGAAUAAUUGUUUGGCUAGUGGUGGCGCUGCAAAAUUCCCGUUCGAAAUAUGUAGUUUUCAAAGUGACUACUAUUCACUGAUCUAUAAAUUAGAAAAUUACUAUUGAGUUGAAUGUCACAACGAAAAUAUUCA
Long non-coding RNA from Octopus sinensis (East Asian common octopus), 211 nucleotides. RefSeq lists it as uncharacterized. Lineage: Eukaryota; Metazoa; Mollusca; Cephalopoda; Octopoda; Octopodidae. The record is from RefSeq and is a predicted model, not a curated record. The transcript is spliced from 3 exons.